RNAcentral lists this long non-coding RNA (847 nucleotides) under Homo sapiens (human). RNAcentral describes it as "non-protein coding lnc-VPS8-2:8". Lineage: Eukaryota; Metazoa; Chordata; Mammalia; Primates; Hominidae. The record is from RNAcentral.
AUCAGAUGUGGCUUACCUGGUUCCUGAGUCAAUUCCAUCCAGGUAGGAGGAAUCCUAUCAGAAAGUAUGUGAGUGCGUUUGCAGAGUGCAUUCCUGUGGAGCCCCCUUAUCUCUGGCUGCAUCUGCUUCUGCAGGGAGAAAGUAUCCCUGCUGUGAGAGGUCUGGGAUCUGGAGUACAGAGGAUGGUGAAGCCAAGGCCUGAAGACCUUUCCUGCAAGGUCGCAGAGGAAGAGGCAGAAGAAGGACCAGAACCCAGCUCCCCUGACUCCCUAUCCAGUGCUCUUCUCAUAGAUUACAUUGCUUCAGCAUCCACCUGGCUAUUGCUCCAUCCAGGGGUUACAGGAGUCACUGACUGUUUUGGUUGCUUCUUGGUUGGAGGAUGUUGUGCCUCACCGAUGAGAGCCGGAAGCAAAGGUACCAGUUCUUAGAGGAAGCAUAGGAAUGUGUCCCUUCCUGCUCGGGUCUCUCAACUGAACUCAACCCUUCCUUGAUUGAUUGACAAGCAUGUUAUCUCUCAUAAUCCCUGCCCGGUAAGGGCUGAUGUCCCCAUUUUACAGAUGAGGAUAUUGGAGCUCAGAGAAGUGAAAUGAUUGCUGAAGGUCACACAGCCUGGCUUCAAGCCUCUCGGGCUCCAAAAGGCAUCUUCUGUUCUCUCCGUCAGGAAGCCUCUUUUGGAUGAUUAACUGAGAUUAAAAAUGAAAAGACACAUGAAAGAAAGGUCCUUUUUUUCAACCUGACAAGAACUAAGAAUGCCUCUGUAUUCCAGGCACCCAGACCAGGGUGGGCUGGAAAGCCAGCCAGAGAGAAAGCAGGAGAAAGAAAGCAUGUUCUAACAGGAAGGUUAAAG